GGGUCCUUAGCUCAGUUGGGAGAGCGCCUGCUUCGCAAGUAGGAGGUCGACGGUUCAAGUCCGUUAGGAUCCACUA
This 76-nucleotide transfer RNA is filed under the name Bombilactobacillus bombi. RNAcentral describes it as "Lactobacillus bombi tRNA-Ala". It matches the Rfam family "tRNA". From Rfam's summary of the family: Transfer RNA (tRNA) molecules are approximately 80 nucleotides in length. Lineage: Bacteria; Bacillati; Bacillota; Bacilli; Lactobacillales; Lactobacillaceae. The record is from RNAcentral.